AACGAACGCUGGCGGCGUGCCUAAGACAUGCAAGUCGUGCGGAAAGGCUCCUUCGGGAGUACUCGAGCGGCGCACGGGUGAGUAACACGUGGGUAAUCUACCUGAGGGUCUGGGAUAACUCCGGGAAACUGGGGCUAAUACCGGAUGAGACCACAGCGUCUUUGGACGCAGCGGUCAAAGAUGGCCUCUCCUUGGAAGCUAUCGCCUACAGAUGAGCCCGCGUCCCAUAGCUAGUUGGCGGGGUAACGGCCCACCAAGGCGACGAUGGGUAGCUGGUCUGAGAGGAUGAUCAGCCACACUGGAACUGAGACACGGUCCAGACUCCUACGGAGGCAGCAGUCGGGAAUUUUGGGCAAUGGGCGAAAGCCUGACCCAGCAACGCCGCGUGAGGGAUGAAGGCCUCGGUCGUAACC
RNAcentral lists this ribosomal RNA (413 nucleotides) under uncultured bacterium. Its description in RNAcentral is "bacterial SSU rRNA". It matches the Rfam family "Bacterial small subunit ribosomal RNA", at positions 29 to 430 of the family's 1533-position model. The record is from RNAcentral.